RNAcentral lists this transfer RNA (72 nucleotides) under Bos taurus (domestic cattle). It matches the Rfam family "tRNA". From Rfam's summary of the family: Transfer RNA (tRNA) molecules are approximately 80 nucleotides in length. Lineage: Eukaryota; Metazoa; Chordata; Mammalia; Artiodactyla; Bovidae. The record is from Rfam by way of RNAcentral. RNAcentral also lists the same sequence under 3 other names.
UCCCUCGUGACUCACGUGGUAAAGAACCUGCCUGCAAUGCAGGAGACCCAGGUUCAAUCCCUGGAUUGGGAA